AAGGAUUUAAGUUAAAUAAACUAUUAACCUUCAAAGUUAAAAAUGGGGCAGCCUAAGCCUUA
RNAcentral lists this transfer RNA (62 nucleotides) under Crypsis chinensis. Its description in RNAcentral is "tRNA-Trp". The record is from RNAcentral. Lineage: Eukaryota; Metazoa; Arthropoda; Insecta; Coleoptera; Tenebrionidae.